This 247-nucleotide ribosomal RNA is filed under the name uncultured bacterium. Its description in RNAcentral is "partial 16S ribosomal RNA". It matches the Rfam family "Bacterial small subunit ribosomal RNA", at positions 523 to 769 of the family's 1533-position model. The record is from RNAcentral.
AUACGUAGGUUGCAAGCGUUGUCCGGAUUUACUGGGUGUAAAGGGCGUGUAGGCGGAGGAGCAAGUCAGAUGUGAAAUCCAUGGGCUUAACCCAUGAACUGCAUUUGAAACUGUUCCCCUUGAGUAUCGGAGAGGCAAGCGGAAUUCCUAGUGUAGCGGUGAAAUGCGUAGAUAUUAGGAGGAACACCAGUGGCGAAGGCGGCUUGCUGGACGACAACUGACGCUGAGGCGCGAAAGCGUGGGGAGC